Long non-coding RNA from Dipodomys spectabilis (banner-tailed kangaroo rat), 95 nucleotides. RefSeq lists it as uncharacterized. The transcript is spliced from 3 exons. The record is from RefSeq and is a predicted model, not a curated record. NCBI's taxonomy places the organism in Eukaryota, Metazoa, Chordata, Mammalia, Rodentia, Heteromyidae.
UAUUUCAGAGGGUAAGGAAGGGCACAUAAAAGGUGGAACAAGGGUGAAUAAAUACAACAGUGAUGUUCACUAGACACUAAGUGAAAAAUGUAUAU